UUGCAUACGGAGGCACCACCUCCGAGCUGAAGUAUAUUUACUUGGGGUAAGGCGAGAUUUGCUAUAAUUUUACCACUGCUCGCAGUGAAGUGUCGGAGUCGCGAACGAGUCGCCAUAUCUUUGUGUUUGUACCAGGGACUGUAGCCGUCACUGUCAUCGAGUGCGGUCGUUUGUUGUUGUUAUUAAUCCAUUUUUUUUCUUCUUCUUCUGGUUUUGUCGACCAUCACCAAUCACCAUCAUAUCUCAGUCACGCUGGAUAGCUACGAAACGAAGCUGGAGUCGCCGUACCCCACCAGCAUGCUGGCGGGUAAGUCGCCCUACGACACCGCCAGCACCGGCAACUACAGCCACAUGACGACGAUGCCGAGUAUCAGCAGCAUGGGAUCCAUGCCCAUGGCCAACUACUCCCCCCAGGGGAUGGCGGGCAUGACGGGGAUGGGGUCCCUGCCGCCCAGCAUGAGCUCCAUGGGGAUGACGGCCAUGGGGAUGCACGGCUCCAUGGGCACGAUGAACAACAUGAACACUCUCAACAGCAUGGGCUCCAUGAGCUCCAUGAACAACAUGGGCAACGUGCCGAUGAACGGGAUGUCCGGUAUGGGUACCAUGUCCCAGAUGAACGGCAUGGCCGGACGGCAGAUGGACCCCAACAUCAUGUCGAUGGACCGCGCCAACGCCCUGAACCGCGCCAGGGACAAGACCUACCGCCGGAGCUACACCCACGCCAAGCCCCCCUACUCGUACAUCUCGCUCAUCACCAUGGCCAUCCAGCAGUCGCCCAGCAAAAUGUGCACCCUCAGUGAAAUAUACCAGUUCAUAAUGGAUUUAUUCCCGUUCUACAGACAGAACCAGCAGCGCUGGCAGAACUCGAUCCGGCACAGCCUCUCCUUCAAUGACUGUUUCGUCAAAGUCCCGCGCACGCCCGACAGGCCGGGCAAAGGGAGUUACUGGACUCUACACCCGGACUCGGGUAACAUGUUCGAAAACGGGUGCUACUUGAGGAGACAGAAACGGUUUAAGUGUCCCAAGAAGGAGUCGAUGCGUGUCGUGGCAAGGUCGUCGUCGGUGCCGCCGAACGGACAGCCGAACGGACAGAACGCGUCCGACUCCACGCCAACGUCCACGGGCGACGGAUCGGGGAUAUCGGCCCCCAACACGCCGCCCCACUCCGUGGAGCCCCCACCUCAGGUGCCAACGAAGACCGAACUCAACCAAACCACACCUCCAGAUCUGAACCAUUCCCAUCAACAACACCAACACAACACGCCAACGCCGCAGCAGCAGCAACAGCAACAGCAUCAGCAACAACAACAACAACAGCAUCAGCAUCAGCAGCAACAACAGCAGCAGGCCCUGACGACGUGCACGGCCGCGGAACUGACAAAUGUUCGACAGCUACAACAACACCCUGGAUUGCAUGAUAUGAACCCACAGGGACUACAUCUCGGGCCAGGUCAGUUGCCCUCUCACCAUUCCUUUAAUCAUCCUUUUUCCAUCAACAACUUAAUGUCGGAGAGCAAACUGGACAUGAAAAUGUACGAAACCAUGCAAAACUACGGAGCUUACGGACAGAUGUCGCCGUUGGCAAUGCCUAAAGAAUCGUCACCGCCGAUGCAGGCGAACGAUGGCAAUUACUACAAAUAUGUGCCACACUCCACGGCAAGUUUGUGAAAACUAUUUUUAUUCUGCAUACGCACAGUUUUAAAAAUUAUAUAUUAUAUAUAAAUAUAUUGUGGAAAAAAAGGUGUGAGAUACGUGUUCCAUUGGCUUUUAAAAAAAUUAAUUUAAAAGACAAAAAACUAAACAAAUAUAUAGCUAAAACCAAAGAUUUUUAUAUCUUCAAGGCCAAAAGCUGUCUCUACCUAAAACAAAUUUUAAUUGUGGUGUGUUACGUGAAAUAUGAAAAAAAAUGUGCGCGUGUUGUGCACGUGAAAAACAAAAAAUAAUAUUGUGUUCAGGAUUGUAGUUGCAUGCAGUCUAGCUUUCUAAGCGCUACGGGUGCUUUGUUUUUAUUACUGAAUACUGGACAUUUUGUUUCGUUUACUCAAAGACGUGAAAAUCUGGACUAAACAGAAUUUCCAUAUAGAUGAACAAUAUUCACGUCGUCGAGACUACCGCCACUUCGCUAGUUUUUGGCAGCCGCCAUCAGCACACUGGCUCUACUCAACCUGAGUCGGCCUGGUUCAGGGUGAGACGACUCUGCAACACUCUACCUGGAGACAAGGGCACUCGUCAUCAAAGGAUGCCCUUUCCUCGCCCCGGAUUCAUCUGCGCACUCUCAAAGGAAGCUCAGCCAAGGUAACGUCUAAACCGCGGACGGAAGCUCUCGACAACGCCCAGUCGCUCAUCUCUUUCGAUUUCUAAUGUACUUUUAACAAUGAUAUUAAAAUUAUAAUUUAAAA
This is an RNA transcript of Gigantopelta aegis, 2399 nucleotides long. It is a transcript of the gene named hepatocyte nuclear factor 3-beta-like, with no coding region annotated. The record is from RefSeq and is a predicted model, not a curated record. The transcript has 2 exons. NCBI's taxonomy places the organism in Eukaryota, Metazoa, Mollusca, Gastropoda, Neomphalida, Peltospiridae.